This 276-nucleotide ribosomal RNA is filed under the name Rhipicephalus muhsamae. RNAcentral's name for it is "partial 16S ribosomal RNA". Lineage: Eukaryota; Metazoa; Arthropoda; Arachnida; Ixodida; Ixodidae. The record is from RNAcentral.
GGUAUUUUGACUAUACAAAGGUAUUGAAAUAAGAUUUUAAUUGAAUGCUAAGAGAAUGGAAUUUCAGAAAAAAGCUUUUUUUAAAUUAAAAAUUGAAUUUUUCUUAAUUUGUGCAGAGACAAUUAUUAAUAUUAAGGACAAGAAGACCCUAUGAAUUUAUUAAAUUUAUAUUAAUGAGAAUCUACUAUUAAAUAAAUUUUGGCUGGGGCGGCAAGAAAAUAUCAAAAACUUUUCAGAUAAUAAAAUGAUCCAUUAGUAAUGAUUACAUGUUAAAUA